CCUACGGGAGGCAGCAGUGAGGAAUAUUGGACAAUGGACGAGAGUCUGAACCAGCGAAGCAGCGUGAAGGAUGACUGCCUUAUGGGUGGUAAACUUCUUUUACAUGGGAAUAAAGUGUUCCACGUGUCGGAUUUUGUAUGUACCAUAUGAAUAAGGAUCGGCUAACUCCGUGCCAGCAGCCGCGGUAAUACGGAGGGUCCGAGUGUUAUCCGGAUUGAUUGGGGUUAAAGGGAGCGUAGGUGGAUUUUUAAGCCAGUCGUGAAAGUUUGCGGCUCAACCGUAAAAUUGCAGUUGAAACUGGCAGUCUUGAGUACAGUAGAGGUGAGCGGAAUUCGUGGUGUAGCGGUGAAAUGCUUAGAUAUCACGAAGAACUCCGAUGGCGAAGGCAGCUCACUGGACUGUAACUGACACUGAGGCUCGAAAGUGUGGGGAGCAAACAGGAUUAGAUACCCUUGUAGUC
This 460-nucleotide ribosomal RNA is filed under the name uncultured bacterium. RNAcentral describes it as "partial 16S ribosomal RNA". It matches the Rfam family "Bacterial small subunit ribosomal RNA", at positions 338 to 795 of the family's 1533-position model. The record is from RNAcentral.